This 69-nucleotide transfer RNA is filed under the name Grandisonia alternans. Its description in RNAcentral is "tRNA-Tyr". It matches the Rfam family "tRNA". Rfam says of the family: Transfer RNA (tRNA) molecules are approximately 80 nucleotides in length. Their secondary structure includes four short double-helical elements and three loops (D, anti-codon, and T loops). The record is from RNAcentral. Lineage: Eukaryota; Metazoa; Chordata; Amphibia; Gymnophiona; Indotyphlidae.
GGUAGAGUGGCUGAGUGUUAAGCGGCGGAGUGUAGUUCCGAGGAAAAAGGUUCAAGUCCUUUUUCUACC